Manis javanica (Malayan pangolin) is the source of this 2235-nucleotide long non-coding RNA. RefSeq lists it as uncharacterized. Lineage: Eukaryota; Metazoa; Chordata; Mammalia; Pholidota; Manidae. The record is from RefSeq and is a predicted model, not a curated record.
GCAAUCAAAAACAGCACAGAGGUAUUGAUAAGGCCAGAUAUUUCCAUGGCUUAGGUAAUUCACAGAAUGUAAAUUACACAUCUUUAAAAACAAUGAAUGAAAAUGUUGCUCCAUGUUUUCACCAGCAUUUGCUGCUGUCAGUUUGGAUUUUUCAUCAUCCUAAGAGACUUUUAGCUUGACCAUGAUGUGUUCAUUCUGAAGGAUCAGUCUCACCUCUUCCUGAACAAAUACUAAAAUAGUAGCCUUAAGCUUAAGGAAGCUGGUUCAGGAAGCUGUGUUCCGUGAGACAUGAUACUCUGAGAAGAUUAAAAUGGAGGGAAUCUUGGCCUAUGGAUCUUGCAUCUAAUUUCCAGGAUCUCCAGCCUGGCCUUAGUCCAUUGACAUAUCAAUAGGUGUGUAACGUGGCAGCCUCCCACAGCCUCUGGGCCUAGGGGUGGAGAGAGGAUGGCCAUCUCUCCUUCCCCCCAUUCCAGAUUGGGCCUGCCUCCUAGCUGCCGCUGCUGCUUGCUGAGUGUGCCUGCAGCUCCCUGGUGGUUCAGCUGCUGGUCUUCUGUGGAAUGGGUGAGGUGUUUACUGCUGCAGCCUCCCACAGACUCUCAGGGAAGAGAUGGAAAGGAGGAAAAUGAGCAUACUACCAAGCUGAUUGGUCAUGAUGAAUAAGAGCAGCAGUAGCCUAAGCUUUGAUUCAUAUCCAGAUGGUCAGUAUUAUUCUAGCACAGGAUGCAUUACAAGUGACAUCUUUCCAAGCAUGUUAUGAUCAUUUAAAAAAUUACUUUGUAAAAAAUAGGAUAAAGAACAUGUAUUCAAUGAGUGUGGUCUAGAAAUGGAUUUGGAUUUUUUGGAGUUAAAUAAUUAAAUAGAUAUGAAAUAGAAGGAUAAAUUAUUAAAAUAUUCCCAGGCUUAUUCAUAAGCUAUUCUUGUCUUCUGUGAGUUGAGAGAAUUAUUUUAGAUUCUUUCAUAAAGUUCUCUGUUAACUUACAUUGAGCACUGAAAAUUUAAUGCCAGGGACUUUUUUUUUUAACAUUUUAAAGGCAAACUAUAAAGUAUUUUUCCAAUUAAAAUGAACUCUUUGACGGGUCUCUGUAGUUUUCAAGUUCAGGAAGUUAAAUAAGCCUAAGACUUACAAAUGCUUCAUUAGGGAGGAUCAAGGGUUGAUAGCACCUAAUUGGUUCUGAAGGGCCUCUGGAUCUUGUCAUUUAAAUGACAGUGACUUUUGUUAAAGCUUGGUUAGCUGCUCAAUCAUUAAAAAUCAUUUUGAUUUUGAAAUGUUCUUCUUGCAUUAAUUUAGAAGAGUUGGGGCAGAUUGAGAGAACUACUGCAUAGUUAUUAUUGAUCAUUUAGUGUUAUAUGAAUAUAUUUCUCCUUUUGGAGACAGUUGAUUUCUAGAAAAUGCUCCAAGUAUUUUAUUUCAUUGUUGUCUUAUUAGUGGUUGCAUUCAAAGAUGUUUUACAGACUUGAAUUAUUGUGAUUAUCAUCUUGACAAUGUUUAAUUUUCCAUCAUGUGACCAGGAGCCUCUCAGAAAUGCAUUGAAUCUGUGUAACACUCCAAAAUGGCUUUAAAUUUUCUUUAAAGCUCCUGGAUUUCGUGCUUCCUGCCAAGUGUGUGUCCCUGAGGCACUCCGCAUUGUAGUCUCACCUCUUGUCUUCUUCCUGUUCACUGGGCUAGGUCCUCAGAAUUCCACUACCAGGAAAGAUAUCAGAUGCAGUGAGUCGUAAUGGCAUUUGAAAAUGACACCUGAGUAUCAGUCAGGGCAGCUUUGACACUUUGAAUCUCAUCAGAAGAAUGAGAGACUAGCAAUCAGAGAAAUCCUCACUGGUUCAUUUCGAGAGCCUCCUGCCUCUUCCCUCAGAAUCAUUCUACAAUUUCUUUGCAGUGGCAAGUGUGCAGUUCACUUAUGAGUUCUGAAAAAUGAAAUAGUAAUCUUUGAUAACAUGUGAAAUGUAUUUCUUUGAACUUAUAAACUGAUGUUUAACAGCACUUGCUAUUGGUAUUUUGAAAAAUCUCAGGGUCUUUAUUGAAACAUGAAGCUUAAAUGUUUCCAUAGUUUUUCUGCUGAUAAUUUGAUUUUUGACUUUUAUUUCCUAAUUUGAAUCUCAAAUACUUUGAUCCUUUUGGCUUGAUGAAUAAUCUUCUAGAAGAGCUUUUGCGCUAUUUUUGAUUGAAAAAUAUCCAAUAUGCUCUUAGUUAUUUGAUAGGUCUUGGUUUAGUAUAUUUAAAAAACAUAUCUUUACAGU